ACAAAACAAGGAUUACCCUUGCACCUUCACACAGUACUGCAACAACACUCCAGGAGGAUUUCAGUGCUCUUGCCCAUCGAGCAUGAUUGAUAAUGGUUACAGGUCAGGGACGGGAUGCACUCCCUUGGUUUUAGUUCCACCUCCACCUAGUCCUGGUUCCCCCUUGCAACGACAACCCCAAGGACCUAAAGCAUGCCACAGGGCAUAAGUGGAGAUGGCAUGACUAAGGGGAAUGGCUGCCAAACGGGUCGAAAGAACUUCCCCAUCACUAUGGUAACUCAUCAGCUUCUGGAGUGCUACCUUUAUUUUUAACCUAAAAAAACUACAGAUUCUGAACAAACAGUUGAAAAAAACAUAAUAUCUACAUAAGCUAUUGAAUGCAAAUCGUUUUGUGAUGUUCAUAGCAGAGUAACUGAUGCAUAACAUUUAGCUCAUGGCAUAUGUUGAAUAUUACAGUCCAACAGGUCACCAUGCCAAAUCUAAACCACUGAAUCGUGCUAAAUGAACAUGAAUCUGAAAUUGAAGAAAAAUAAAAUAAGUC
Molecule: non-coding RNA, 541 nt
Organism: Oryza sativa Japonica Group (Japanese rice)
Lineage: Eukaryota; Viridiplantae; Streptophyta; Magnoliopsida; Poales; Poaceae
Source: RefSeq, a predicted model, not a curated record